CAGGGAGGAGAGACCAUAUUGAAUGUUCCUGCUUCUGACCCAGUCUUAGGUCCUGUCCCUCAUCUUCUUGUACUGUGUAGGCCAGCACACACCAAUCCAUGACCCAUGAGCUACAUUCCCAUCAGACACCUGUCCCUACAGCCCCACCCCCAUCACAAGCCAGGCCCAACUCUGUGAUCUAUCCCUUUCCCUGGUGUUCUGGGGCAGCACAGUAGUGUCUGCUUUCUCUUCACUACCAAAAGCAGAGAGUCUGCACAAUGGCUCUCUGUGCAUCCCCAAGCCCCACUUGACCAACUGGGGCUCACUGUGCCAGGGACACAGCCAGCAGGACAGGCUCAUGUGUUUUAGAUGCUAGACACUGAUUAUCCCUUCCCUCCUGCCACAGUGCUAUCUGGAGCCCCAUCACUGCCAGCCCCCUAAGCCUUCAAUAUAAAUCACUAAUACCAGGCAUUCCUAAGCCCACUCUACAAUAAGGAUUGGUUAGACAUGAAUGUUGGGUGUGGAGAGAUGGCAGACAUUGUCCAGGAAAGCAAGCCAUAGAGGAAGGGCCUUCAGCUCUAGUUCUUGGCUAUAUAGAGCCAAGUAUAGACAAUGUCUGUCUAUGAAAUAACUCACCUAGGGUACCAGUCUCCCCUGUCAGCCCUUAUAAUGCCACGGUCCCCUCAGAAGCCUCUGAUCUGGAGCCUCUAGCCUUUCAGGUUUUUGUCUAGGGAUCACUUUAUCAGGGAGACCUUCCCUACACAUCUAUUUUAAAAUUUCAGGCUACCUCUCUUCAACUCAGUAACCUCAUAGUCUUCCCAGGCAUGGACCACCAUCUACCAGACUAAUUUAUCAUUUGCAUUUGUUUACUUAUGCCCUUGUGGCUAAGUUCCAUGUUGGUGAAGAUUCUGCAUUAUUAUUGUUGUUGUUACUAUUAUUUACAAUACAGCAUUCCCAGCCUCUAGCAACGUCCUGGCACAGAGCAAGAAGUAGGAACCCAGUAAGUAGCAUUCACUGAGUAAGUGUCUAGGCUGCCCUCACAUCUGGACGCCAUUUUAGCCUCUCCUCAGAAAACAUUUCAUUUCAUGCUCUGGAUCCGUCUGUCUCAGCAGUGGCUUGUGGCACCUCAAGCACACUCUUCUGAGUCUGCAUGUGAAAGGGGACCUCUUGGUUCAGUGUCAGCCCCUUCUCAGGUGUCUUCCGCACAAGUCCCAACCAGAUUCUAAGUAUGAGCUUUCUUCUGAGCGUCUCUGGACCACCACCCAAGGCCCAAUCAACCCUUCUCACUGUCUCUGGCCUGUUUUGGCUCUUCUUCUCUGACCCCUGCUCUCCUUGGAAUCUCCCAACACCAGUUCCUUCUCCUUGACCAUCCACUCCCCAACUCCCCCACUCUCAGUUCUCACUGCAACCCCUCCCUUGGCCAAGCCCACUGUCACCCCCUCCAACAGCUUCCCUCAAAGCUCUCUCUUCCUACUGGACCCUUCCUCAGUGCACAAGACCCCUACUGCGCAGCCCUUCUCCUUAACCUGCCCCCAUCUCCUUAUUCUCUAGCCAAGGUGUCUGACCCUGGCCCUCCGUUGCCUCGGUCCUCCCUGCUGCCCAUAUUGAGUGCAGGUGUUACAGCGUGCCUGAGCAAGGCUCCCCCAUCUCUUCAGCCUUGGCCCAGGAUCCUGAGAUGGGGAGCCACAGUCUUCCUUUCUACCAUUUCUAGCUCCUGAGAGUCUAGCACAAUGCUGGGAACAUAUGUAUAAAAUAAAUGAAAACAAGGUUUCUGCCCAUGGGUCUGCCUCACCUCCAUGUUUAACUAACUGCCGGUCUGAUCAGUGCGGCUCCACCUGGGCUGUGAGGAAACGCAUGGUUGCUGGAAUAAAUGAAGAGGAAAAAAUAGGCAGUUCUGUCUCCACCCAGAACCACAGUAAUUUUCCAAAAAUGGAAACCAGAUUGUGUCACUCCCUGGUUGACAAAAUUAAAGGGCUCACCACUGACUUUAGGAUAAGGUCUCAGCUCAGUUUACAGGAUACCUGAGAGGCCACUGCAGCCAACCCCUAGCACCUCUCAGGCUCCCCCACCCCACCCCCCACUUCACACCUUAUACUCAGCCAUGUGAAGUUUGGCAGGUUCUGGAACACAUCACACAAAACCCCAAGUCUUUGUUUACACUGCUCCCUCGGUCUGGAAUCCUCCCCUCUUCUAAGAACCUCUUCUUGUAUUUCAAACCUUUGCUCAGCUGUCAGGACUCCUAAGCAAUCUUCCCUGAACUUUCCUCACCUAAAAAAGAUCAUCCCCUUUCUGUGCUUCACAACACCAGUGUCACAUGCUAUCAGAAUAUAUGAAACUCGGUCUUACUUCGUAUUACAGCACCAUCACUAAGGAUAAUAUGUUGUGUGUUUACCAGAGUAACCAUUGUGUGGGAGGGGAGGAGGGUGAAUGGGACAGACAUUGGGGAACUAGGAACCUGGAAGCGUGGAACUGGCUGAGAACAGAAAGUUUGUACAGCCACCUUAGGCUAGGGUAGGCAAAGGCGACCCGAGGGAAGAUGCUGGAGAAUGAUGAAGAGCCCUGACAGGGAGGACGGGACAGGAGUCCUGGUCAGGGGAGGCUCAGGUCUAUGGAAGGGGGAGAAAGCACUUAAACCAAUGCCCUGUCUUAACAACUAUUCAGUGGCAGCAUCUCGCUGAGACCCCGUGCCUCUGGACAGCUCACGGGACUUCAGGAAUGACGAGUUCUUCUUUGCAGCAAUGGUGGACAGAGCCAUGUUUCUAGGUCAAGCUGGGGCUGACUUUUGUAACACUGGGGAGUGUACCUGGAGAGAACACAUGUUUCGUGACACUGGGUCAGGGAGGAGCCUGGUUGACCAUCAGGGCACCAGGGCAGAAAGCAGUUGAAGUAAGAUGGGGAAAGUCUGCUGUAAGUACUGUCUAGCCUGAGGCAAUGUGGCCACCACCUUCUUACUUUAUGAGAACAAAAAGAUAACCAGCUAUCUAGUUUCUUCAAGAAAAGGCAUGAUCCAACUCCUUUCUCACUGGGGUUAUCCAUACUUGGGGCAUCUCAAAGGAUAAAAAAGGGGCCAGCAUGGCUCAUUAGGGAAGGUAGCUUGCCAAAAAGCCAGAAGACCUGAGUUUGAUCCUCAGGACCCACAUGGUAGGAGAAAAUCAACUCCAUAAACUGUCCUCUAACCUUCAUACGUUCAUUGUGAUGCAUGCACACCUAUACCCACCCCACCCCCCAACACACACAUAACUGUAUGAGUUCUGGCUCAAGGCAUGAGGCUAAGCAGAGCCUUGAGAUGGAGACUAAAAGGAGGGGUCAUAAAGCUGACAUCAUACCAUAGGUGAGUGAGCUGAGUCCUGUCCAAAGCCAGGGGUCUUCCAACUUGAUAUUCUAGAGAUGCCAGGCAUUGAGCUAGGCAUGGGUGAGGGCAUUAACAAUAGAAAAUGGUUCCUCCCCUGGAGGAAGUCAAACUCUAGGGAGUCACAACACAACUCCUUACUGUAGUGGACACAAACCUCUAGAAUGAUUCCUGGCACCUACAUACACUUUCUUCUUUUUUAUAUUAUAUUUAUUUGUGUAUUUUGUGUGUGGGCACACCUUCACCACAGCACAUGUGCAGAGGUCUAAGGACAACUCUCAGGAGUCUGUUUUAUCCCUCCACCAUGUGAGGCCUGAAGAUUGAACUCAGGCCAGCAGGUUUGGUGGCAAGCGCCUUUCAUCUGCUGAGGCCAUCUCACUGGCCCACAAAUAAGCAUUUUUUAUUGGUGGAACAAGUAACUGGUACGGUGAUGGAGAAAGAACAGGAUACCACCAGAGUCUGGUGCUAUUGCAUCUCUAAGAAUAAAGCCUGCCUGAGCAUCAGUCAGAAUUCUCUUGGACCAUCCAUUGGCUCUCCCGUUCUCUCAACCUCCUCUCCGAAGUCACAGAAGAAAGGGAACAUCCUCAAACAUCCAAACUGGAUGAAUCUGUUCUCCUUUCUCUUUUUGUCUAAAACCAAGUGCUGAGCCUACUACUUAGAUCCUCUCAACAUAAGAAUUUCCAAGAAGUAUUUCUUGGCCUGACCUUCCCCUAAGCGCCUCAGUGCCCUCUUUUCUCCCCACAUUCACUAUUGCCAUUUCCCCUCUUCCCUGUUGGCUUUUCUAACCCUGCUUCCCCCCUCAGCAAGACUUGGUAACAACACCUACUAAGGUCAGCACAGCCCCAUGGCAUUUCGCCCAGUGGAUGCCUAGUCACCAUGUGUACUCUCAGCAGAAUUUGACCCCAUGAGCCCCUCACCUAGUGCUCAUUCAUAGCUCCCAUGCUCUACAUUCCUGGAUUUCUUUCCACCCACCUGGCUACUGUUUCUUGGCCUGUUAGACUUUCUUGCUGGCUCAACUUCCUCUCAGUCAUUACAGGCUGAGUUUCUCACAGCUUUUAUUAUGUCCCUUUCUCUUCCUUGUCCUAUAUUCAAUAGAAGUAUUCAUUCAUGUCCACAGAUUCAGUUACCAUCUAUACAAUGAGGAUUUCCAAAUUUCAAGCUCCCUCAUCUGAACUCCAGACAUGUACAUUCAACUCUCUACCCAACAACUCCAUCUACCUAUCCCAAAGGCCUCUCAAACAUGAUACAUCCAUUCAUGGUUCUCAUUCCUAUCCUCCUAUCUCUUUCUCUUUCAGGGGCCAUGGGAUGGAAUGACCGCCUAUUCUAUUGUCCAGUGUUGUACAAUUCUAAAUACAUGUUUCACUCUUGCUGCUUAAAGUAAAUUCAUUCCCAGACAAUAAUCACAUUCUGAGAAAAAAUUCUGGAUGUAUCUAUUCUAUACCUCCACUAUCAUUCAUAAUCUGCACCAAAGCCAAUGACCUUAUGGUCAAAAUCCUAAGCAUUGUCUAAAUUGUCCUGUUAGCUUGCCCAUGGCCUUCCUCCUCUCUGGCCCCAACUCUUAUCAUUGACCUCCCCAACCUAAGCAGCUUUCUUUGACUCCUGGAAGGCAUUGUGAUUAUGGUCUUUGUUCUACAUGAUACCCCUUCAACCCAUUUCCAGAACUUCAUUAUCCCAACCCUCCCUUUACAUCCUAGUUGAAACUACACUUUCCUCAGAGAACUCUUCCCUUGACCCCUCCUCUCUUAUCCCCUCACCCAGUCUAGCUUCUGUUCUGCAGGCCUGUCAAAGCACCAUGCAUCUCCCUUCAUGAUGUCUAUUCCCUUUACAAUGUCCUUCUUAUUUGACUUCCUUCAUAGACCAUCCAUUCUCUAUGGACAAGAACCCAGUCUAUUUUGUUCCUUGAUUACAUCUUUAGUGCCUAAUGCAGUGCCUUGUAAAAAUCAGGUGCUCAAGUCCUAUUUGUUGAAUGAAUAUAUGAUCAGAUGCAUUUUUAAAAUGACCAUUAUAAAUGCUAUGCUGAUAAUAGCUAAGAGGGGGAAGGCAACUGGGUGCUAUUAGAGCAGUGGGGAGUCUAGAUUAAGUUUGACAACAACUGGAAUCAAGGGAGAUUAACAGACCUGAGAAUUAUUGAAGUAGUGGGUAAGACAGAACUUGCUGAAAUUAGAUGUCCAGGAGUGAGGGAGAAUGUUGCUCAGAAUCCCACCCAGUGUGAGCGUAACCUGAACUGAAUAGACAGCUGCCAUUCUGGGGGGUUAAAGGAACAGUAGAUAUGGAAAUGAGGUACAAGGUGAGGAAGAGACAUUAAUUAAUUCACCUUGGAAUCUAUAGGCUUGGAAUCCUUAUUGGAUAUUCAAAGGGGUGCCAGGGGACAGUUGGGUAUAUAUGAGUGUGAAUUUCAUCAGAGUGGUCUGGCCCAGACAAAUUUGCGACUUGGCAGAGUAUGUGUUAAAUUUAAAGAGUUGGAAAUAGAGGAAAUGGUAGGGGAGAAAGGACAGAGUGAAAGAACGCAGCUCAAGCCAGAACCCAGGGCCACAUAUGCAGAGGAGAGGAAGAGAACACAGGAGACUGAGAAGCAGCAGACAGUGCCUAAGAGAGAAACCUGGAAAACGCUUCAAGGAGACUGAACUGACACAAACCGGCUGAACACUACUCCAAGGGAACAGGCUCACAGCAAUGUAUCCAUUCGAGUUACGGGGAGGGCUCCGGUGACCUUGCCUGGAAGCUCCGGUGGAUGUCAGAGACAGAAUGGCGUGGAUUUUAAAAUGAAUGGCCUCUCUCGGGCUGAGAUGAGAACCCCGCCGGCCCCAGGGCACACCCCUCGGUCGCUGAGGACAACAGAAUGCAGCUUGACAGAUCCCAGGCCUAGGACUCCAGGCUGGAAUCGCGCGGCCUGGCUCCUACCCUGCUCCAAGUCCCCUUCCUAGCACUAGACCUCCCCUCCCCCACUCUUCCACCGCCCCUCGCUUUGCCCCCCCCCCAUCUUGGUCCCCCCAUUUCAAGGCAUCCUGGAGGAUCAAGAAGCAAAGCUAAGCGGAGGGGGUCGGCAUGCCAAGAGAUUGAAAACAGGAACUUGUAGCUUCCAUCCGGCAUCACAGCUGGUGCUUUGCUCAGAAUGGAGGGAAGGAAGAUUCCACUGAUACUGAACCCCUGCCUCAGUGUACGGACUGAGGCAGCUCUGCUCAUAAUCAGAGCCAGAUGUGUAGGCCUGGUGAGAACACUGCCCUACAGCUUCCAGGAAAUCUGUGUCCAUCCACCUGCCCAUCAGGUCUCAACUAACAGCAAUGGGAAGGACCAAAGAGGUAAGUAUAACCAAGGCUUCUGUGUAGUCCAAGUAGUACACCCUUAGCCUCUACAAAGAUUUCAAAAUGUUCAUACUGCCUCCUAUCUGAGGCCCAGGAAUUAUGCUAUAUUGGAUAAUAUCUUAUUUAUCUCUCCCAUAACCUCUUUUUUUUGUUUUUACCAAGACAGGGUUUCUCUGUUCAGUUUUUGGAGUCUAUCCUGGAACUCACUCCGUAGACCAGGCUGGCCUCAAACUCACAGAGAUCUGCCUGCCUCGGCUUCCUGAGUGCUGGGAUUAAAGGUGUGCCCCCACUACUGCCUGGCUUCUCCCAUAACCUCUUAUGACCAACAUUCUCAGAUCCACUAUUCCUCAAAUCUUGUGUACCUUCUCUUCCAGUCAUCAUGCUAAGUGCAAGGAGCACAAAAUGAAGAAGACAGUGUAAUUGACUGAAGAGAAUGACAGCUACAGAUCCAACUCUGCUCUUCAGUCAACAAUGGGACCUAUUUCUCUGUGCUUCAGUCUCUAGAAGAGAAAGAAAGUGUAGUCCCUACCUCCCAGGUCACUGAAUACUGCUUUAAUUAUCUCUGGGAUUAGUAGACCUACCAUGAGAGACUAGAGCUCUGGAAUGCAAUGUGAAAACCUCAAUUCCAUUGUGAGGAAAGGGCAGCAAACCUUGGAACACAGAGUUGGGAAGAGUUAGGGGUUCAGGGCUUUAGGAAUGACUUCCACCACUGACCAUGGAAUCUCUUACAUCCAGGCUCCACCUGAAGAAGCCUUAAGGAUUGCUCUCACAUGACUAAAACUGCUCUCCUUGCAGCCUUGGCUGUAUACUGGAUAAGAAAGAGUCAACCUUUCCUAUUUUGUAGCUCCAGAAAGGAGGGGCAGGGAACCCCCUGUAUUUACAGGGCAUGCAGAGAUACAGGGCCUGGGAAUGAGGAACUAGCAAGUGGCUCAGGGCCCCAGGGAUUCACUCUUUUUUUUUUUUUUUUUUAAGUUUUCCGAGACAGGGUUUCUCUGUGUAGCCCUGGCUGUCCUGGAACUCGAACUCGCUCUGUAGACCAGGCUGGCCUCAGACUCACAGAGAUCCACCUGCCUCUGCCUCCGAAGUGCUGGGAUUAAAGGUGUGCACCACCACUUCAGGGAUUCACUCUUGCUCCCUCUCUUUUUUUUUUUUUUUUUUUUUUUUGGUUUUUCGAGACAGGGUUUCUCUGUGUAGCUUUGCGCCUGUCCUGGAACUCACUUGGUAGCCCAAGCUGGCCUCGAACUCACAGAGAUCCGCCUGGCUCUGCCUCCCGAGUGCUGGGAUUAAAGGCGUGCGCCACCACCGCCCGGCGCUCUCCUCUCUUGAAGUGUAAAAAAAAAAAAAAAAAGCAAACCCUGAACUGGACUCCAGGGUUAUAAAGAAAGAUGAGACCAUGGAGGUGAAAGGAGGGCAUGUUCAGGGACUCUAGGGGAGUAGGAGGUGGAGAUGAUCAAGAUACAUUGUAUAUAUGUGUGAAAUUGACAAAGAAUAAGUAAAAAUACUCUUUAGGGCCUGGAGAGAUGACUUAGCAGUUAAGAGUUCCCUUUGUUCUUGCAGAGGACCUAGGUUUGGUUCCCAGCACCUACAUGAUAGCAAACAACCAUCUCUAACUCCAGAUCCUGGGGAUCUAACACUCUCUUCUGGCCUCCACAGAUACUGCAAUCAUAUAGUAUAAGACAGACACAUAAACACAAUGCCCCUAUUAAUACAAUUAAAUGAUUAUUUAAAACAAAACAAUUAAAAAUAUUCUUUAAAAAUUUCA
Molecule: long non-coding RNA, 8392 nt
Organism: Peromyscus californicus insignis
Lineage: Eukaryota; Metazoa; Chordata; Mammalia; Rodentia; Cricetidae
Exons: 3
Source: RefSeq, a predicted model, not a curated record